ACACUGCUGAAGAGUCCCACACUAGGACGAAACAGCCGUCCAGUGU
RNAcentral lists this non-coding RNA (46 nucleotides) under Schistosoma mattheei. The record is from RNAcentral. Lineage: Eukaryota; Metazoa; Platyhelminthes; Trematoda; Strigeidida; Schistosomatidae.